Molecule: microRNA, 22 nt
Filed under: Macacine gammaherpesvirus 4 (Rhesus lymphocryptovirus)
Lineage: Duplodnaviria; Heunggongvirae; Peploviricota; Herviviricetes; Herpesvirales; Orthoherpesviridae
Description: rlcv-miR-rL1-8-3p
Gene: rlcv-miR-rL1-8-3p
Source: miRBase by way of RNAcentral
GGUGGGCCGCAGUUCACCUACA